Molecule: ribosomal RNA, 447 nt
Filed under: uncultured bacterium
Lineage: Bacteria
Description: SSU rRNA
Rfam family: Bacterial small subunit ribosomal RNA
Source: RNAcentral
AGGAUGAACGCUGGCGGUGUGCCUAAUACAUGCAAGUCGAACGGGAUCUUCGGAUCUAGUGGCGAACGGGUGAGUAACACGUUGGUACCUACCCCGAAGUGGGGAAUAACUGCCCGAAAGGAUGGCUAAUACCGCAUAAUACCGCAAGGUUAAAGCAGUAAUGCGCUUCGGGAGGGGCCUGCGUCCCAUUAGCUAGUUGGUAGGGUAAUGGCCUACCAAGGCGACGAUGGGUAGCUGGAUCGAGAGGUUGACCAGCCACACUGGGACUGAGAUACGGCCCAGACUCCUACGGGAGGCAGCAGUAAGGAAUCUUCCACAAUGGACGAAAGUCUGAUGGAGCAACACCGCGUGCAGGAUGACGGCCUUCGGGUUGUAAACUGCUUUUAUAUGGAAGAUUAUGACGGUACCAUAUGAAUAAGGACCGGCUAACUACGUGCCAGCAGCCGC